AACGAACGCUGGCGGCAGGCCUAACACAUGCAAGUCGAACGUGAACAGGGGCAACCCUUAGUAAAGUGGCGCACGGGUGAGUAAUGCAUAGAUGAUCUGCCUCAAAGCUAGGAAUAACCUGCCGAAAGGCGGGCUAAUACCUAAUAGUUCGGUUUACCGGGAAAGGUAGCUCGUAAGAGCUGUCACUUUGAGAUGAGUUUAUGUCCCAUUAGCUUGUUGGUGGGGUAAUGGCCUACCAAGGCGAGGAUGGGUAGCUGGUCUGAGAGGAUGAUCAGCCACACUGGAACUGAAACACGGUCCAGACUCCUACGGGAGGCAGCAGUGGGGAAUUUUGCGCAAUGGGCGAACGCCUGACGCAGCAACGCCGCGUGAGUGAAGAAGGCCUUCGGGUCGUAAAGCUCUGUCAUGUGGGACGAAGUUCCUCUUGGUGAAUAGCCUUGAGGGUUGACGGUACCACAGAAGGAAGCACCGGCUAACUCCGUGCCAGCCGCCGCAGUAA
This 499-nucleotide ribosomal RNA is filed under the name uncultured bacterium. RNAcentral describes it as "partial 16S ribosomal RNA". It matches the Rfam family "Bacterial small subunit ribosomal RNA", at positions 29 to 523 of the family's 1533-position model. The record is from RNAcentral.